This 422-nucleotide ribosomal RNA is filed under the name uncultured prokaryote. RNAcentral's name for it is "bacterial SSU rRNA". It matches the Rfam family "Bacterial small subunit ribosomal RNA", at positions 355 to 774 of the family's 1533-position model. The record is from RNAcentral.
UGAGGAAUAUUGGUCAAUGGGCGGCAGCCUGAACCAGCCAUCCCGCGUGAAGGAAGAAUGCGCUAUGCGUUGUAAACUUCUUUUUCAGGGGGAUAAAAUUCUGUAUGUAUACAGGACUGAAGGUACCCUGAGAAUAAGCAUCGGCUAACUCCGUGCCAGCAGCCGCGGUAAUACGGAGGAUGCGAGCGUUAUCCGGAUGUAUUGGGUUUAAAGGGUGCGUAGGCGGAAUAAUAAGUCAGUGGUGAAACCCUGCAGCUUAACUGGAGACUUGCCAUUGAUACUGUUUUUCUUGAGUAUGGUUAAGGCAGGCGGAAUGUGUAAUGGAGCGGUGAAAUGCUUAGAUAUUACACAGAAUACCGAUAGCGAAGGCAGCUUGCUGGGCCGUUACUGACGCUGAUGCACGAAAGCGUGGGGAUCGAACA